This 254-nucleotide ribosomal RNA is filed under the name uncultured bacterium. Its description in RNAcentral is "partial 16S ribosomal RNA". It matches the Rfam family "Bacterial small subunit ribosomal RNA", at positions 524 to 776 of the family's 1533-position model. The record is from RNAcentral.
UACGUAGGGGGCAAGCGUUGUCCGGAAUCAUUGGGCGUAAAGAGCGUGUAGGCGGCUUGGUAAGUCCGCUGUGAAAGUCCAGGGCUCAACCCUGGAAAGCCGGUGGAAACUGUCAAGCUUGAGUCCGGAAGAGGCGAGUGGAAUUCCUGGUGUAGCGGUGAAAUGCGCAGAUAUCAGGAGGAACACCGAUGGCGAAGGCAGGUCUCUGGGCCACUACUGACGCUGAGAAGCGAAAGCAUGGGGGAGCGAACAGG